RNAcentral lists this ribosomal RNA (253 nucleotides) under uncultured bacterium. Its description in RNAcentral is "partial 16S ribosomal RNA". It matches the Rfam family "Bacterial small subunit ribosomal RNA", at positions 524 to 776 of the family's 1533-position model. The record is from RNAcentral.
UACGUAGGGUGCAAGCGUUGUCCGGAUUUAUUGGGUUUAAAGGGUGCGUAGGCGGGCUAUUAAGUCAGUGGUGAAAUCCAGCAGCUUAACUGUUGAUGUGCCAUUGAUACUGGUAGCCUUGAGUACAGAUGAGGUAGGCGGAAUUGACAGUGUAGCGGUGAAAUGCAUAGAUAUUGUCAAGAACUCCGAUAGCGAAGGCAGCUUACUGGGCUGUAACUGACGCUGAUGCACGACAGUGUGGGGAUCAAACAGG